CUCAGGGAAACUUGAGCUAAUACCGGAUGUGCCCUUCGGGGGAAAGAUUUAUCGCCAUUGGAGCGGCCCGCGUCUGAUUAGCUAGUUGGUGAGGUAAAGGCUCACCAAGGCGACGAUCAGUAGCUGGUCUGAGAGGAUGAUCAGCCACAUUGGGACUGAGACACGGCCCAAACUCCUACGGGAGGCAGCAGUGGGGAAUCUUGCGCAAUGGGCGAAAGCCUGACGCAGCCAUGCCGCGUGAAUGAUGAAGGUCUUAGGAUUGUAAAAUUCUUUCACCGGGGACGAUAAUGACGGUACCCGGAGAAGAAGCCCCGGCUAACUUCGUGCCAGCAGCCGCGGUAAUACGAAGGGGGCUAGCGUUGCUCGGAAUUACUGGGCGUAAAGGGAGCGUAGGCGGACUGUUAAGUUAGAGGUGAAAGCCCAGGGCUCAACCUUGGAAUUGCCUUUGAUACUGGCAGUCUUGAGUACGGAAGAGGUAUGUGGAACUCCGAGUGUAGAGGUGAAAUUCGUAGAUAUUCGGAAGAACACCAGUGGCGAAGGCGACAUACUGGUCCGUUACUGACGCUGAGGCUCGAAAGCGUGGGGAGCAAACAGGAUUAGAUACCCUGGUAGUCCACGCCGUAAACGAUGAGUGCUAGUUGUCGGCAUGCAUGCAUGUCGGUGACGCAGCUAACGCAUUAAGCACUCCGCCUGGGGGAGUACGGUCGCAAGAUUAAAACUCAAAAGGAAUUGACGGGGGGCCCGCACCAAGCGGUUGGAGCAUGUGGGUUUAAUUCCAAAGCAACGCCGCCAAAACCUUA
RNAcentral lists this ribosomal RNA (800 nucleotides) under Caulobacter segnis. RNAcentral describes it as "bacterial SSU rRNA". It matches the Rfam family "Bacterial small subunit ribosomal RNA", at positions 147 to 973 of the family's 1533-position model. The record is from RNAcentral. Lineage: Bacteria; Pseudomonadati; Pseudomonadota; Alphaproteobacteria; Caulobacterales; Caulobacteraceae.